AUCUGUGGGGGAGGAAGGCGUUGUUCUCUGAGGUCCUGUUUUGGCCCAGGUUUUCGAAGCCCUAGCUUUGUUGAUCUCUGAAAACUAAGGACUAACGCCCCCACCUUCUCCUCCCAAUGCUCCAGGUUCCCUUUUUGAGGCUCUCCAUGGCUCUCCCCUAGUGUGUGGGAAACCACGGAGGAAGUAGUCAGUAUCUUUUCUCUUUGAAAUUCCUUUUCACCUUGGCACAUGCAUCCAUCCUGGCCCAGACCCACCCUUCAGAAGCCAUUAUUCCUUAACCCACUCUAAACGGGCACAGGUGACAAAGCCAUCAAACUAUACAAUCAAAACCGAAGUACAGUUCGGGAUUUCCCAUUGGUUUCCUGGCCUGGGUAGAAAGAGGAAUAGGGAGAGGAGAUGAGGGGAGGGGAGGCCGCGAUGCACUCAGGAAAGUCUUGGUGGCCACUUUGAGGACACUGGCCUAGCAUCAGUCUGGAGGUGAGAGCGGGACCGAGCGGGUACUAACGUGGCAAUGGCGGUGUUGAGCCCAGAUGUCAGGUUCCGAGUAUAAACGUGCGCGGGUGAACACUCUCCCCCGUACCCUCGAUCCAGCUCGGUACAGCAUCGUCUCCAGAAAGGCACAAAUCGGGCCUUGUGCUUAAAUGGAAUAUCUGCUUCUAUACAGUGACCCCGACGCACAUCAAAGAUCCUGCUUUGACUCCUUAGACUCCAAGAUCAGAACAUGUCUGCCCUAAUUUCAGACCUACUCCCAAGAACUCACUUUUAGGAGCUAUGCUGGGAACAUCCCCUCUUCUAUGUUUUCAAAACAGAAAGAAAGGAAAGACUUAUCUGGGAAGGAAACUUGAACUGAACAUUUAACAUCUAUUAAUUUUGGCGUUGAUGACUCUAUUCUUGUAUAAAUAAAUCUAUUAAUCACAAAAAUAAUAAAGGAGGUGUUCACGUGG
This 944-nucleotide long non-coding RNA is filed under the name Mus caroli (Ryukyu mouse). Its description in RNAcentral is "lncRNA (MGP_CAROLIEiJ_G0005143.1)". Lineage: Eukaryota; Metazoa; Chordata; Mammalia; Rodentia; Muridae. The record is from RNAcentral.